Molecule: ribosomal RNA, 499 nt
Filed under: uncultured bacterium
Lineage: Bacteria
Description: partial 16S ribosomal RNA
Rfam family: Bacterial small subunit ribosomal RNA
Source: RNAcentral
GACGAACGCUGGCGGCGUGCUUAAUACAUGCAAGUCGAGCGAAGAUUUUCUUGUGCGUGCACUCGAAAGACUUAGCGGCGAAUGGGUGGGUAACACGUAAAGAACCUGCCUCAUAUACGGGGACAACUAUUGGAAACGAUACCUAAUACCGGAUAACAGUAUUUCUCGCUUGAGAGAUGUUUAAAAGUUGGGUAUGCUAACACUAUGCGAUGGCUUUGCUGUUCAUUUGCUAGUUGGGGGGGUAAAGGCCCAGCAAGGCGGCGAGGUAUAGCCGACCUCAGGGGGUGAUCGGCAGCCGGGCGACUGAGACAAGGCCCAGAAUCGUGAGGGAGGCAGCGGUAGGGAACCUUCCGCAAUGAGCGGAAGCGUAACGGGGGAAAGCCGCGUAAGUGAAGAGGGAUUUCGGUUCGUGAAGCUCUGUUGUUAGGGAGGAAUGGAUAUGUAGUAACUCUGACGGUAAGAGACGGUACCUGUAGAGAAAGCCACGGCUAACUACGUG